RNAcentral lists this ribosomal RNA (305 nucleotides) under uncultured bacterium. RNAcentral describes it as "bacterial SSU rRNA". It matches the Rfam family "Bacterial small subunit ribosomal RNA", at positions 337 to 640 of the family's 1533-position model. The record is from RNAcentral.
GCCUACGGGAGGCAGCAGUGAGGAAUAUUGGUCAAUGGCCGCAGGGCUGAACCAGCCAAGUCGCGUGAGGGAUGACGGUCCUAUGGAUUGUAAACCUCUUUUGUCAGGGAGCAAAGGGCGCCACGUGUGGCGUUUUGCGAGUACCUGAAGAAAAAGCAUCGGCUAACUCCGUGCCAGCAGCCGCGGUAAUACGGAGGAUGCGAGCGUUAUCCGGAUUUAUUGGGUUUAAAGGGUGCGCAGGCGGAUUUUUAAGUCAGCGGUCAAAUCGUGGGGCUCAACCCCAUCCAGCCGUUGAAACUGGGGAU